GAUGAAGAACGUAGCGAAAUGCGAUAAGUAAUGUGAAUUGCAGAAUUCAGUGAAUCAUCGAAUCUUUGAACGCACAUUGCGCCCGUCAGUAUUCUGGCGGGCAUGCCUGUUCGAGCGUCAUUACGCCCCUCAAGUCCCCUGUGGACUUGGUGUUGGGGAUCGGCGAGGCUGGUUUUCCAGCACAGCCGUCCCUUAAAUUAAUUGGCGGUCUCGCCGUGGCCCUCCUCUGCGCAGUAGUAAAACACUCGCAACAGGAGCCCGGCGCGGUCCACUGCCGUAAAACCCCCCAACUUUUUAUAGUUGACCUCGAAUCAGGUAGGACUACCCGCUGAACUUAAGCAUAUCAAUAACGGAGA
Molecule: unclassified non-coding RNA, 356 nt
Filed under: soil metagenome
Description: partial contains 5.8S ribosomal RNA, internal transcribed spacer 2, and large subunit ribosomal RNA
Rfam family: 5.8S ribosomal RNA (bases 1-120)
Source: RNAcentral